This is a long non-coding RNA of Hipposideros armiger (great roundleaf bat), 594 nucleotides long. RefSeq lists it as uncharacterized. The transcript is spliced from 5 exons. NCBI's taxonomy places the organism in Eukaryota, Metazoa, Chordata, Mammalia, Chiroptera, Hipposideridae. The record is from RefSeq and is a predicted model, not a curated record.
GGAUCUGCUCCGGAUGUGAUUUCUCAGCUGUUCUAUUAGUUCAGGAUUCUGUUGCUGUAUCUGCUGAGCAAACUGCUGUCCCCUGAAUAAGCCAUCUGUACAAUUCAUUUCAACUGAAGUGGAUGCAAGACAUUUUUUUAAGGAAACAAGGGUGAAUCAGAAGUGGGGCUGCCUUCCAAGGGCACAGCAUCUGGUAUAAUAGAUCUCAGCCAGAGGUAUACAGUCACUCAAGGAGCUUCACCUGCCCAGGGUUACCACCAGACUGGUACAUCAGAGAAGGACAACUGACAACAUAUUUGGACCCAAUAAGUUUGGAUUCUCUUUAUAUUCUGAUCAAGAGCUGCCCCACUCCAUCCCAGUGCAACACCCUCCUCAGUUUGGACUUGGUCUUCCACUCCUUCCUUGUCAAAAUAUCCAUCUGCUAAGUAACCAAACCCUCAGAACUCUGCUGUGUGUGGACCAAUUCUCCUCAGAAAAAGGACUGAAUAAGCAACUAAGUUGCCACCUACAAAAAGUCAAAUUGUAGGGCUGGCCAAGUGGCGCGAUGGUUAAGAACUGGCUUGGGACGCCAGAGGACCCAGUUCGGAUCCCACA